RNAcentral lists this ribosomal RNA (620 nucleotides) under Shigella sonnei. RNAcentral's name for it is "partial 23S ribosomal RNA". It matches the Rfam family "Bacterial large subunit ribosomal RNA", at positions 292 to 920 of the family's 2925-position model. The record is from RNAcentral. Lineage: Bacteria; Pseudomonadati; Pseudomonadota; Gammaproteobacteria; Enterobacterales; Enterobacteriaceae.
GGGGAGCAGCCCAGAGCCUGAAUCAGUGUGUGUGUUAGUGGAAGCGUCUGGAAAGGCGUGCGAUACAGGGUGACAGCCCCGUACACAAAAAUGCACAUAUUGUGAGCUUGAUGAGUAGGGCGGGACACGUGGUAUCCUGUCUGAAUAUGGGGGGACCAUCCUCCAAGGCUAAAUACUCCUGACUGACCGAUAGUGAACCAGUACCGUGAGGGAAAGGCGAAAAGAACCCCGGCGAGGGGAGUGAAAAAGAACCUGAAACCGUGUACGUACAAGCAGUGGGAGCACGCUUAGGCGUGUGACUGCGUACCUUUUGUAUAAUGGGUCAGCGACUUAUAUUCUGUAGCAAGGUUAACCGAAUAGGGGAGCCGAAGGGAAACCGAGUCUUAACUGGGCGUUAAGUUGCAGGGUAUAGACCCGAAACCCGGUGAUCUAGCCAUGGGCAGGUUGAAGGUUGGGUAACACUAACUGGAGGACCGAACCGACUAAUGUUGAAAAAUUAGCGGAUGACUUGUGGCUGGGGGUGAAAGGCCAAUCAAACCGGGAGAUAGCUGGUUCUCCCCGAAAGCUAUUUAGGUAGCGCCUCGUGAAUUCAUCUCCGGGGGUAGAGCACUGUUUCGGCA